Molecule: long non-coding RNA, 2397 nt
Filed under: Vigna radiata
Lineage: Eukaryota; Viridiplantae; Streptophyta; Magnoliopsida; Fabales; Fabaceae
Description: long non-coding RNA (VRAD_LNC001321)
Source: RNAcentral
CCUCACUAAAUAUGUAACAUCCCAAAAUGUAAUAUAAGCUAUAUAAUAGAAUAAUCACAUAUAAUAAUAUGAUAGCUUAGUUAUCCAUAAUGUGUUAAAGUUGUUAAUAGUAUAAUUAUCCAAAAAUAACUAUAUAAUUAAAACUUUACACAAAAACCUACUCUACUACAAAACUAUGUACAAGACCGAACGGUCUGUACUACAUUGGUGGAUCUUUUCCUUCCAGAGCAUGCUCCACCGAGACCUCUUCUCCCUCUACUCACACCCGAUCAUUGCAAAAGAUAAAUCGAACGGUUAAACAUGGAAAAACGGAAAAGAAGGGUAAGCUAGUGUAAUUUAAUAGUUAUGUUAACAUACAAUUCAGACAAACAUAUAAUACAAUCAUACACAUACAUAUAUCAUAUAAUCAUUUUAUGACCGACCACUUUACUCUGACCGUCCGGACAAGUAUGAAUAUGUAGCUAUGGUCGUUCAUGCACUCGUAUGUAACUUGGAAACCCCAUCAGUUCCCAUAGGAGGUUAGCCCGUUAACCUGCCUUUGGUCAAGGUAAAACCCCUAGGCUAGGACCUCCUUUUAUUCUCAUGACAUGCUUCACCAUUCUCUAUUUGAGAAUCAAUGACCCUUAGAAUGUCAGGAUGAAAGCCAAGACUGAGCUUCCUAUAUUCAUACUUCUACCACUUUAACAACCAAACAUAGAGACAUUCCUCCUUGGAAUUCUCUCUCAAAUCCACACUUAGGAAUCUCACACCAUACCAUAAUCUCAAUAUUAUAUCUCAUGCAUAAUACAUUUAAGCCAAUGAAAUAAACACUCAACUUACAACAUAAAUUACAAUUCUUCUACAGACAGAAUGCUCUAUGGUAAGAUCAAACCGAAAGGUAACUACUACUACUCAUGAAUAUGACUGAAUGGUCUUUCACUAAACAAGAACGGGACCGAACAGUCCAUAAUAGAUAAAGCUGAGUAAGUGGCCGAACGCUAUUUAGGACCGACCACUAGAAGAGAGACCGAACACUAUAACAUUAAAAUUCUAUAGUAAGAACGAGAACCAAUGUUAGACUGAACACCCCAACGAAAUCGAAUACAAAUGUAAGAAGAAUCCUAGUAGAAGACCGAGCUCCACUAAGAGACCGAGCUCUAGUGCAAGACCGAACUGUAUGAUACUAUGACCGAUCGAUACACUAGAACGAGUAGUAAAAGAUAACCGAACGAUCAUUAACAGGUAAGACCCACAAAAGACGGAACACGAUUAAGACCAAAUCACCAAAUACAAAUUGAGUACAAGUGUAAGGUUUGGAACUUAAACUAUACUGGAUACUUUAUCUAGGCCGAAUAUUAGGUGAAGGCCGAAAGUUAUAACUAGACCGAACACUACAUUCAACUGAAUACUAAUGCCAGACCGAUCAAUCAUUAACUGAAGCUCUACAGGAGCAGAGCUCAAUUAAGACCGAACACAAGAAGAAGACUGAGCGGUCAACAAAGAACUCUCAGCGAAACUGCAUAACUCUAUAGAAUGAUUGCAGAAUUAUAAUCCAAACCGAGUUUACAAAUUUCACUCAUUCUUCCCAACUUCUAAUACUCCAAACUUGUAUCAUACAUACCUAUAUACUUUACUAAGAACAUCUAAAUCUUCUUAACAUCAUUUAGAGAAUUUCAUCUCAGAUUUGAGAGUCAAUUAUGCCAAAUCUUGAACUCAAGAACCAAAAAUCAGAUUUCCUAGUUUUGGUAUAGUUUAGUGACUCAAGGGUCCUAAUAAAUACUAUACAACUUACCCAGAUUCUUCAUACAAACCACACUCAUACCUGACCUAGAUUUCUCAAUUUCACUAUCACAAUUCCUCACAAUCUACUCAGCCACUAACCCAUAAUUAUGCAGAAACAUAUUCAUCAUAAUCACAACACCUAAUUAUCCAUACCAACAUCACCAAACACCGAAUCAUUCAAUUAUACACACAUGCAAAAUCAUCAAGCAACAUUUUCAUACAUAAUACACUAAUUAGUUAAAUUAAUUAGCUUCCCUUACCUCUUUGACCAAAUAGAACAACGUUUAUCUUUUCUAGAAAUUGUUUUCACACCAACAAAUCCUAGGAACACAAUUAGUUCACCGAUGGGUGAGAAAAUACCAUCCAACAGACCAAAUGAAGUUAGAAAGGAGAAGAGAAGGUUGAAGAACAAAUGCAACCAGCAGGACUAUCUUGCACGUGACAAAUUUUCACAAAAACUCAAGAAACGAAACUUACACGUUCAAAACACAAGUUUGAUCGGUGAAAGAGGAAGUCCUUGACACCAUGAUGACUUAGGCACAAUCUGAUUGUAGAUUAGAUGAAGUGAGAUGAGAGAUUUUUAGAGAGAAGGUGGAGAAAAGAAGAGAGAAGAAGUGUUGGAGAGAUAUAAUGCAU